AGGUAUUUAGAAUAGUCUGGCGUUCAUGUGUGGUGACGGUCACACAAGGCCUUGGUUCGAAUCCAAGAGUACCUUCA
Molecule: transfer RNA, 77 nt
Filed under: Caudoviricetes sp.
Lineage: Duplodnaviria; Heunggongvirae; Uroviricota; Caudoviricetes
Description: tRNA-OTHER
Source: RNAcentral